RNAcentral lists this ribosomal RNA (393 nucleotides) under uncultured bacterium. RNAcentral's name for it is "bacterial SSU rRNA". It matches the Rfam family "Bacterial small subunit ribosomal RNA", at positions 29 to 413 of the family's 1533-position model. The record is from RNAcentral.
AACGAACGCUGGCGGCGCGCCUAAUACAUGCAAGUCGAACGAGAAGCUGUAGCAAUACAGUUGUACAGUGGCGAACGGGUGAGGAAUACACGGGUGACCUACCCUCGAGUGGGGAAUAACCAGCCGAAAGGUUGGCUAAUACCGCGUACGCUUCCCAGUCUACGGGUUGGGAAGGAAAGCGAUGCCGUGGGUAUCGCGCUCAAGGUUGGGCUCAUGUCCUAUCAGCUUGUUGGGGGGUAACGGCUCACCAAGGCAACGACGGGUAGCUGGUCUGAGAGGACGAUCAGCCACACUGGCACUGCGACACGGGCCAGACUCCUACGGGAGGCAGCAGUAAGGAAUAUUGCGCAAUGGGCGAAAGCCUGACGCAGCGACGCCGCGUGGGGGAGUGAA